CUGCUUAAUUGCGUUUCAAAAUCUAAACCUGAGCGACAAGGUGCUGCUAUCGAAACUGUCUUUGAGUGUGAACUAUAAGUCUUUUGACUUAUGACCAUCACUCUAGACGUUUAUGUUUUGGUGUUGGCCCUUGAUGCUCAUUUGAACGCAACGGACGUGAUUGCAACCCCUUGUUGAGAUUUAUCCGAUCUCUACGUUCACUGAACCACACUCUUUAGCGAGAGCAGUGGGGAUGUGGAUAAACUCGGGGGACUGCUGACUAUAAACUUUUCUCAAACCAGAGGAAGGUUGCGGCAAUAACAGGUCUGUGAUGCA
This 315-nucleotide ribosomal RNA is filed under the name Globigerinoides elongatus. Its description in RNAcentral is "SSU rRNA". Lineage: Eukaryota; Foraminifera; Rotaliida; Globigerinidae. The record is from RNAcentral.